Acanthosepion pharaonis is the source of this 111-nucleotide non-coding RNA. NCBI's taxonomy places the organism in Eukaryota, Metazoa, Mollusca, Cephalopoda, Sepiida, Sepiidae. The record is from the annotation of a GenBank genome assembly.
UUACGGCCAUAUCACGUUGAAACGUCGGUUUUAGUACGAACAUUGAAGUUAAGCAUCGUCGAGCUUGGCCAGUAGCAGGAUGGGUGAUCACUUGGGAAUAUUACGUGCUGU